RNAcentral lists this ribosomal RNA (253 nucleotides) under uncultured bacterium. RNAcentral's name for it is "partial 16S ribosomal RNA". It matches the Rfam family "Bacterial small subunit ribosomal RNA", at positions 524 to 776 of the family's 1533-position model. The record is from RNAcentral.
UACGAAGGGGGCUAGCGUUGCUCGGAAUUACUGGGCGUAAAGGGCGCGUAGGCGGCACUGUUAGUCAGGCGUGAAAGUCCUGGGCUCAACCUGGGAACUGCGCUUGAUACGGCAGAGCUAGAGGAUGGAAGAGGGUCGCGGAAUUCCCAGUGUAGAGGUGAAAUUCGUAGAUAUUGGGAAGAACACCGGUGGCGAAGGCGGCGACCUGGUCCAUUACUGACGCUGAGGCGCGACAGCCAGGGGAGCAAACGGG